RNAcentral lists this long non-coding RNA (7812 nucleotides) under Podarcis lilfordi (Lilford's wall lizard). Lineage: Eukaryota; Metazoa; Chordata; Lepidosauria; Squamata; Lacertidae. The record is from RNAcentral.
GGGGUUCAGGAGCAGAGGCCAGGGCACGGGAGGAAACAGAGAGCGAGGGGGAGGAGGCAGAAGAAAAGAUGAGUGAUGACGACGACCCGAGAUCUCCGAGUCUUUCCAGUGAAUCAGAAGAUUCACAGAAAGGAGCACCAGUGGCCAGGGCAAGGGGGGAGCCUAGGGGGACACCCCAGGAAGAUAGAGCCAGAGGGGACUCAGAGGGGAGCAGUUGGAAAUCGGGACCAGCGUCACCGCCAGAGAGCAGGGAAGAGGAAGGGAGCCAGGGAUCAAGCGCUGGCAGCUCACAACAGGGGGGAGGGCACGAGUCAGGAGUGGCCACACCUCCAUCGGGGAGCGAAGAAACGGUCAGACGGAAGGUGGAAGGUUGGGCGCGCGCGCCAAGUUCAAAUGCACAGGAAGGUGGCACAGUAGGCAGCCCGGAAAGGGAGCCAGGUCCUAAAGCCCGCCGAAAGGAGGGAGAAGAGUCAGGGGGGUCAGCGUCAGAGGAAUCCCGGAAAGAAGAGACCCCAGGGGGCAGAGGGACCCAGAGAAGAACAGUCAGGCGGAAAAGGUGGAGCAGGGCUAGGAUAUUAAGUUGGUGUACAAGGGGCGGAGACUCAGACGGAGCUUCGCCGGUCUAACCAUGAGACGUAGAGUUGCACGCAGCAGUUUGAGAAUGGAAACUGUAACUCAAUAAAGACUUUUGUUUAAUGAUCGCUGGCUAGCGUGAUCCUCUGUGAGCUAGGAUCUGGAAGCAGCUCUGACACCAUCCAUGGUUAAAAAAUGACCUUUGGCUUUUCUGUGAUAAGAAGGCCUAUAAGGAAAUCCCCAGUAGCUUUUCGGGGACUUGUACACUUGGUAUUGUAGUUCCAUUGAUUUAUAAGUUAGACAAUAUAUCCUCGCUUCGGCUUCGCAAGAAGAGAGAAGUAAACGCUCCUAUAGUUCAAUAUGUUGAAACUGUUAUUGCUAGGGCUGCCAUGCCCCCUCUUGGAGUUGCCAUGAAUUACAGGGACCUCCAUAGACUCUCCAACUGGACAGAAGGGCUAUUCAAUGCAACUAUAAAAGCCUUGAAAGAAAUUAACCAAGAAAUGUCCAAUACUCGUGAGGUCACCCUGCAAAAUCGUUAUGCUUUAGACACCAUAUUGGCCUCCAAGGGAGGGGUGUGUGGUUUAGUGUUAUCACAUUGUUGUAUGUAUAUUAAAGAUUAUAAUCUUAGCAUUUCUACAACUAUUAAUGAAAUGGAAGCCAUGAUUCAACAGAAUCCGAUUUUGCAUCCUGUCAUUCCUGACCCCUGGGCCUGGCUCCUUUCCUGGCUUCCCGAUGGCUCAUGGUUUCGUCAUUUAUUGCUAAUAGGCUUAGGAUUGGUUAUAGGAUUUGUGUGUAUUUGUUGUUGCAUACAAUGUAUUCCCUCGCUGAUUACCCAAUGUAUGGGGUGGUGGUCUCCCCGACGCACUUCCUUAGGUGUACCCCGCCGUGAAUAUGUUGCCCGAUAUAAGCGCUUUCGCAAUGAAAUAUAUGACUCUGAUUAAAUGAAAUAAAGAAAGAGGGCAUGUGGGGGUGCACUGGAAAAUAGCAGCCUUGUGCAAGAUUGUGCAAGAGGAAACACCUGCUGAUUAGUUUCCCCACCCGCCUGGGUCAGUGUCGAGUUGCUUAACCACAAAGCUUACGUGGCCGUCAUGCUGUCUGGAGUUAUAUCCUGGUAGAGAUCAGUUAUUAUUAGAUAUGCAAACCCUAGCUGUUUCCACCCGUGUGCUACACGUGUAUAUGCAACAUGAUGUUAUGUGCGCAAGGCUAAUAAACAUGCAAGGCUGCUGGUAGAGAGCGGCACUCCUUGCUCAAACCUUCACCACGACUCCUUGUCACUUUCCUCCGCACCUGGUGGGCUGGUUCCCCGACACACCCUUUGCGAUUUCUUCGUCAAUGUGCAUUAACAGCAAAGAACACGACUUGAAAUAAGUGAAAUUCAAGAUUCUUCGUUCUAUGUAGCUGGAACCCAAAACAACCUGUUUGGCUUUGUUUAGGCCUAUUACACUUCGCUUUGCUAUUUGUGGUUGAAUAAACACCGAAAGUACAAUCCAAGCUUAUUUGUCCUCUUUCUAUUGAGAUUGAACCAAAACACCCAUGCUUAGUUUGGGCUGAUAACAAACAUGUCACUCUGCUAUUUUUGGGUGAAUGUGCAUUCUAACCCCAAAAACACCAAUUUGAAAUUAGCUCAAUCAGAGCUUUAUGAUCUUUUUAUGUAGAUGGAACCCAAAACAGCUUCUUCCUUUGGUUGGUUGUGAUUCUGGUGCACACCCAAAAUCACCAUGCGAAUUGAAAUAAGCCCAAUCAAAGCUUAUUCGUCUUCUUUCUACGCAUAUGGAAGCGAAAAGACAGUGGUGUGUUAUGUUGGUCUGCAUACAAACACUUUGCGAUUUCUGGGUCACUGUGCAUUAACACCAAAGAACACGAAAUAAGCGAAAUCCAAUAUUCUUCUUUCUAUGUAGCUGGAAAUCAAAACAACCUGUUUGGCGAAAGACGGUGUUGUGUUAUGUUGGUCUGCAUACACACACUUUGCGAUUUCUGCGUCGAUGUGCAUUAACACCAAAGAACACGAAAUAAGCGAAAUCCAAGAUUCUUCUUUCUAUGUAGCUGGAAAUCAAAACAACCUGUUUGGCGAAAGACGGUGUUGUGUUAUUUUGGUCUGCAUACACACACUUUGCGAUUUCUGGGUCAAUGUGCAUUAACACCAAAGAACACGAAAUAAGCGAAAUCCAAGAUUCUUCUUUCUAUGCAGCUGGAAAUCAAAACAACCUGUUUGGCUUUGUUUAGGCUUAUUACACUUCGCUUUGCUAUUUGUGGGUGAAUAAACACCGAAAGAACAAUCCAAGCUUAUUUGUCCUCUUUCUAUUGAGAUUGAACCAAAACACCCAUGCUUAGUUUGGGCUGAUAACAAACAUGUCACUCUGCUAUUUUUGGGUGAAUGUGCAUUCUAACCCCAAAAACACCAAUUUGAAAUUAGCUCAAUCAGAGCUUUAUGAUCUUCUUUUUAUGUAGAUGGAACCCAAAACAGCUUCUUCCUUUGGUUGGUUGUGAUUCUGGUGCACACCCAAAAUCACCAUGCGAAUUGAAAUAAGCCCAAUCAAAGCUUAUUCGUCUUCUUUCUACGCAUAUGGAAGCGAAAAGACAGUGGUGUGUUAUGUUGGUCUGCAUACAAACACUUUGCGAUUUCUGGGUCAAUGUGCAUUAACACCAAAGAACACGAAAUAAGCGAAAUCCAAGAUUCUUCUUUCUAUGUAGCUGGAAAUCAAAACAACCUGUUUGGCGAAAGACGGUGUUGUGUUAUUUUGGUCUGCAUACACACACUUUGCGAUUUCUGGGUCAAUGUGCAUUAACACCAAAGAACACAAAAUAAGCGAAAUCCAAGAUUCUUCUUUCUAUGUAGCUGGAAAUCAAAACAACCUGUUUGGCUUUGCUUCGGCUUAUUGCAGUUCGCGUUGCUAUUUGUGGGUGAAUAAACACCGAAAGAACAAUCCAAGCUUAUUUGUCCUCUUUCUAUUGAGAUUGAACCAAAAACACCAUGCGAAUUGAAAUAAGCCCAAUCAAAGCUUAUUCGUCUUCUUUCUAUGCAUAUGGAAGCGAAAAGACAGUGGUGUGUUAUGUUGGUCUGCAUACACACACUUUGCGAUUUCUGCGUCGAUGUGCAUUAACACCAAAGAACACGAAAUAAGCGAAAUCCAAGAUUCUUCUUUCUAUGUAGCUGGAAAUCAAAACAACCUGUUUGGCGAAAGACGGUGUUGUGUUAUUUUGGUCUGCAUACACACACUUUGCGAUUUCUGGGUCAAUGUGCAUUAACACCAAAGAACACGAAAUAAGCGAAAUCCAAGAUUCUUCUUUCUAUGUAGCUGGAAAUCAAAACAACCUGUUUGGCUUUGCUUCGGCUUAUUGCAGUUUGCGUUGCUAUUUGUGGGUGAAUAAACACCGAAAGAACAAUCCAAGCUUAUUUGUCCUCUUUCUAUUGAGAUUGAACCAAAACACCCAUGCUUAGUUUGGGCUGAUAACAAACAUGUCACUCUGCUAUUUUUGGGUGAAUGUGCAUUCUAACCCCAAAAACACCAAUUUGAAAUUAGCUCAAUCAGAGCUUUAUGAUCUUCUUUUUAUGUAGAUGGAACCCAAAACAGCUUCUUCCUUUGGUUGGUUGUGAUUCUGGUGCACACCCAAAAUCACCAUGCGAAUUGAAAUAAGCCCAAUCAAAGCUUAUUCGUCUUCUUUCUACGCAUAUGGAAGCGAAAAGACAGUGGUGUGUUAUGUUGGUCUGCAUACAAACACUUUGCGAUUUCUGGGUCAAUGUGCAUUAACACCAAAGAACACGAAAUAUCUAAAACAAGGGGGUUUAUUCACCAGUAGGUGGAGCCUGUUGAUGCUAAUCCAACUAUAGGCUCUCCCCUGAUGUCACCGGAGGUCGUGCCAUGGCCUCCCGCCAAGCAGGCAUCGGACAGAGUACACGACCGCCUGAUUCCUUUAACGGAAUACCCAAAAACUGAAGGCAUAGGCGAUGGCCACACCCAGCCCUUCGACACACCACAACACAUUAUUCCAAUGCCUAACCGCCACCCGAGCCAAUAAGGCUCGCCGCCAAUACCCUCACGGCUGUAACCAAUCCCUAAUGCUGCUGAUGACACUAUCUAGCCAAAUGUCGUUCCCCUGGUCUGAGAGAUGCACCCUGUCAUUCCGGUAUAAGGCCCGGUCGCCGAUCCGGAUUUGGUCAUGAUAAAUGACUCGGCCAUUCAUGAAGCCGACGGGCCACUGCCCGAUUUACGAGUUUCCUGGUUUUUUCAAUGGCCAUACAGCUCAGCGCACCGCGCCAAAAAAUUCUCUUCAGGAAGGAGGACCAGAACACCGUUGUUCUGGGGCAGCAUACGCAUCCAAGUCUCUUUUUAUAUUCCACAACAAGUCCGCACUCCUUCUGUAAGCAAGGUCAUUUCCCCCUAAUUGAAUGACAAGGAUGCCGGGAGGGCCGAACGUGGCGACUUUUUCCCACAGCAAUGGCAUAAGCUCUUCCCAGCGCAUGCCUCUUCUCGAGAACCAGGAAACUCGAACACCGUGUGGCAGACCAAGAUUAGGCGCAAGGCCGCAGCUGACCGCCCGUACGUGGGCCCAAUGGACUAUACUGUGGCCGCAAAUCCACACGCUUCUCCUGAUCACAGCUGAGGAUGAAAGGACAGAAAAGGAGGUAAGUAGCAGAGCGCAUUCUAGCGAAUAUAACUUUUAUAAGCAUUGGAUUUCCACCGGCCCAUUUCUUUAAUCCUAUCCGCCGGCAGACCCAAGAGCACCGCUGUUGUGGUGGCCCCAAUCCUGAAUGAGUGUGCAGCAUAAUCCUGGGAAGAUAAACCACAGGCAUCAAUAGCUUUGCGGAGUACCCUUGUGAAUUGGUGUCUCAACAAAGGUGACCCAUCCUCGUGAACCAGGAGCAGGCCAGGACCAGGCAGUCUGAGGUAAAGGUACCAUCUAGUGUCCUUGACCGGGCAUGGGCCCCGCUGCGCUGAAGCUGUAAGUUUUACAAGGGAACCCCUACCUGCCUGAUCCGUUUUGGAUUGAUGUAUCCACACCGUCGUGCUAGCUCGGACAACUGCAAGUCCUCCGUGAGGAGGCCGCGCGUUGACCCAGUUGCAUUAACCUCGGCUACUACUUCACCGACCCUCAAGGUGCCAAAAGGCGAUCGCAUAUGCAGCGGGGGGGGGGGAAAGGCGGGUGUCAGGGCUGCCUCAAGUCUCAGCUCACAAAAGACCAACGCCUAUCUCUUCUUAUAUACAAAAGUGUUUAUUGCAGUUCAUUGUUUGCUUCACAUCCGAGGCGCGCAGCCCUACGUCUGCUACGCUUAGACCGCUGAAGUCCCCACUGAAUCCGUCCCUCCCCUGCACCAGUUUAAGAGGCUUGCGCUGCUCCACCUCUUUCUCUCUCUCCUUUUCUGCAGGGUCUUUCUGCCCGCUGGGGUUUCGCCCCUCCUGGAUUCCUCUGACGCGGAAUCCCCAGACUGCUCUUGCCCCCUCCUGCGGGCUUUGGGACCUGGCCCCUCCUCCGGGCUCCCUGUACUUCCGCGCGCCUCUACAUUUGAACUUGGAGCGCGCGCCCAACCUCUAACCUUCCUUUUAACAGCUACACUACUCCCUUCACUACUCCCCCCCCUUCCGGGAGGGUGGCUUGCUCCGGCCUCCCUCCCUUCUCUGCUGCCGGAGCUGCGUCCCCUGAUACACUGAAACCUCCACCCCCUUCGCUGCACUCUGGCGGGGAGGCUGGUCCUGACGCCCAGCUGCCACUUUGGGAUCCCCCGCUGGCCCCCUGCUCCUGACACGUCCCCCCCUGGCCUUGACCACCGGCGCCCCCUUCUGGGAAUCCUCUGAUUCGCUGGAAAGACUCAUGGAAUCUCUUGAGUCAUUGUCAUCCUCUUCCUCGCUGUCCUGGGAUGAAUCCCCAUCGCUCUCCAUCUCCUGCCUACCCUGUGCCUCUGUCCCUGAACCCCUGACAGCGGGCCUCAAACUUGGUCCAGCAGAUUGACCUAAACUUUGUGCAUAUCUGAGAGAGCAGCCCGUAAGGAAUUGGCUUAGCAUAUGCUGCGGAAAGAGGCGGGCCUCAAACUUGGUCCAACAGAUCGACUUAAGCUUUAUGCGUAUUUGAGAGAGCAGCCUGUAAGAAAUUGGCUUAUGGCCCUCGGCUCUAGGGGGUUGCAGCUUACCCCAACCUUCAAUAGCUCUGCGGAUCGGGAAGUCACUGCACGGGUCGGAGGAAAACAUGGUGUCAGGGGUUCAGGAGCAGAGGCAAGGGCAAGGGAGGAAACAGAGAGCGAGGGGGAGGAGGCAGAAGAAAAGAUGAGUGAUGACGACGACCCGAGAUCUCCGAGUCUUUCCAGUGAAUCAGAAGAUUCACAGAAAGGAGCACCAGUGGCCAGGGCAAGGGGGAGCCUAGGGGACGCCCCAGGAAGAUAGAGCCAGAGGGGACUCAGAGGGAGCAGUUGGAAAUCGGGACCAGCGUCACCGCCAGAGAGCAGGGAAGAGGAAGGGAGCCAGGGAUCAAGCGCUGGCAGCUCACAACAGGGGAGGGCACGAGUCAGGAGUGGCCACACCUCCAUCGGGGAGCGAAGAAACGGUCAGACGGAAGGUGGAAGGUUGGGCGCGCGCGCCAAGUUCAAAUGCACAGGAAGGUGGCACAGUAGGCAGCCCGGAAGGGAGCCAGGUCCUAAAGCCCGCCGAAAGGAGGGAGAAGAGUCAGGGUCAGCGUCAGCGUCAGAGGAAUCCCGGAAAGAAGAGACCCCAGGGGGCAGAGGGACCCAGAGAAGAACAGUCAGGCGGAAAAGGUGGAGCAGGGCUAGGAUAUUAAGUUGGUGUACAAGGGGCGGAGACUCAGACGGAGCUUCGCCGGUCUAACCAUGAGACGUAGAGUUGCACGCAGCAGUUUGAGAAUGGAAACUGUAACUCAAUAAAGACUUUUGUUUAAUGAUCGCUGGCUAGCGUGAUCCUCUGUGAGCUAGGAUCUGGAAGCAGCUCUGACACAUGGCUUUACAAAGAAGUUGAUGGCGGCUACGUGUAUCUUUAACGUUUUGGAGGCCCGGCCUAAAGGAGGCUAUAACGUAUGCCGCAGAGAACACCCGGGCCUCGAACUUGGACCAGCAAAUUGACCUAAGUUUCAUACGGAUUUGGGACAGCAGCUUGUAAGAAAUAGGCUUGCGGCCUUUGUUACUUGGAGGCUGCAGUCAACUGCAACCUUCAAUUGCCCUGCGGACCAUAAAGUCACAGCACGAAUCGGUGGAAAAACAUGGGUCUACUAAAGAAUGUGAUAGCGGCUAUGUGUAUC